This 72-nucleotide transfer RNA is filed under the name Bos taurus (domestic cattle). It matches the Rfam family "tRNA". From Rfam's summary of the family: Transfer RNA (tRNA) molecules are approximately 80 nucleotides in length. Their secondary structure includes four short double-helical elements and three loops (D, anti-codon, and T loops). Further hydrogen bonds mediate the characteristic L-shaped molecular structure. tRNAs have two regions of fundamental functional importance: the anti-codon, which is responsible for specific mRNA codon recognition, and the 3' end, to which the tRNAs corresponding amino acid is attached (by aminoacyl-tRNA synthetases). tRNAs cope with the degeneracy of the genetic code in two manners: having more than one tRNA (with a specific anti-codon) for a particular amino acid; and 'wobble' base-pairing, i.e. permitting non-standard base-pairing at the 3rd anti-codon position. Lineage: Eukaryota; Metazoa; Chordata; Mammalia; Artiodactyla; Bovidae. The record is from Rfam by way of RNAcentral. RNAcentral also lists the same sequence under 5 other names.
UCCCUGGUAGCUCAGUUGGUAAAGAAUCUGCCUGCAAUGCAGGAGACCUGGGUUCAACUCCUGGGUUGGGAA